GAUGAACGCUGGCGGCGUGCCUAAUACAUGCAAGUCGAGCGAACAGACGAGGAGCUUGCUCCUCUGACGUUAGCGGCGGACGGGUGAGUAACACGUGGAUAACCUACCUAUAAGACUGGGAUAACUUCGGGAAACCGGAGCUAAUACCGGAUAAUAUAUUGAACCGCAUGGUUCAAUAGUGAAAGACGGUUUUGCUGUCACUUAUAGAUGGAUCCGCGCCGCAUUAGCUAGUUGGUAAGGUAACGGCUUACCAAGGCAACGAUGCGUAGCCGACCUGAGAGGGUGAACGGCCAACAUGGAAAUGAGACACGGUCCAGACUCCUAAGGGAGGCAGCAGUAGGGAAACUUCCGCAAUGGGCGAAAGCCUGACGGAGCAAAGCCGCGUGAGUGAUGAAGGGCUUCGGAUCGUAAAACUCUGUUAAUAGGGAAGAACAAAUGGGUAAGUAACUAUGCACGUCUUGACGGUAACUAAUCAGAAAGCCACGGCUAACUACGUG
Molecule: ribosomal RNA, 497 nt
Filed under: uncultured bacterium
Lineage: Bacteria
Description: partial 16S ribosomal RNA
Rfam family: Bacterial small subunit ribosomal RNA
Source: RNAcentral